UAACGCGUGGGUAACCUGCCCUGUACAGGGGGAUAACAGCUGGAAACGGCUGCUAAUACCGCAUAAGCGCACGAGGAGACAUCUCCUUGUGUGAAAAACUCCGGUGGUAUAAGAUGGACCCGCGUUGGAUUAGCUAGUUGGUGGGGUAACGGCCCACCAAGGCGACGAUCCAUAGCCGGCCUGAGAGGGUGAACGGCCACAUUGGGACUGAGACACGGCCCAGACUCCUACGGGAGGCAGCAUG
Molecule: ribosomal RNA, 244 nt
Filed under: uncultured bacterium
Lineage: Bacteria
Description: partial 16S ribosomal RNA
Rfam family: Bacterial small subunit ribosomal RNA
Source: RNAcentral